UCCCUGGUAGCUCAGCGGUAGAGCAUUCGACUGUUAAUCGACAGGUCGCCGGUUCUGAAUCCGGCCCGGGGAGCCA
This 76-nucleotide transfer RNA is filed under the name Rhizobium sp. RCAM05350. RNAcentral describes it as "tRNA-Asn". It matches the Rfam family "tRNA". Rfam says of the family: Transfer RNA (tRNA) molecules are approximately 80 nucleotides in length. Their secondary structure includes four short double-helical elements and three loops (D, anti-codon, and T loops). The record is from RNAcentral. Lineage: Bacteria; Pseudomonadati; Pseudomonadota; Alphaproteobacteria; Hyphomicrobiales; Rhizobiaceae.